RNAcentral lists this transfer RNA (72 nucleotides) under Bos taurus (domestic cattle). It matches the Rfam family "tRNA". Rfam says of the family: Transfer RNA (tRNA) molecules are approximately 80 nucleotides in length. Lineage: Eukaryota; Metazoa; Chordata; Mammalia; Artiodactyla; Bovidae. The record is from Rfam by way of RNAcentral.
UCCCUGGUGGCUCAGAGGGUAAAGUGUCUGCCUACAAUGCAGGAGACCCAGGUUUGAUCCCUGGGUCGGGAA